UGCUGAUACUCAGAAUGGAACCAAGAAAGAAGAUCUUACUGACAAAGAGAAGAAGGAGGAGGAAGAGAUGCCUGCACCCGUGUAUAAAGUCAAAUCAAUCCUCGAGAGUUGGGUGUGGGGCAAGCAACCAGGAUGGGCCUCCGCCAGGCUUAGGCCGUGUAAUUGGUGAGCUGGGAGAGGAUGGCUGGAUCAGGGUCCAGUGGGACACGGGCAGCACUAACUCAUACAGGAUGGGUAAAGAAGGAAAGUAUGACCUCAAGCUGGUGGAGUUGCCAGUGUCAUCACAGCCCUCUGCAGAGGAUUCAGACACAGAAGAUGACUCAGAAGCUGAACCAGGAGACAGGAGCAUCCACCCCACAGCGAUGAUGCUGACCAGCAUUAUUAACUUACUGCAGACUCUGUGUCUGUCCGUCGGUGUCCACGCUGAUGUCAUGCAGAGCGAGGCCACCAAGACUUUGUGUGGACGGCUGAGAAUGGAGGUGGAAAGCGGAACAACAGAUGAGCUAUCUCCUCCAGACAGACUGGUGUGCAGGGAGCAGCACCGGAGCUGGUGUACACUGGGCUUCGUCCGGAGCAUCGCACUUAGCCCACAGGCCUGUGGGGCCCUCAGCUCCCCAAAGUGGAUCACGCUGCUCAUGAAGAUUGUGGAGGGGCAUGCGCCCUUCACUGCCGCCUCCCUGCAGAGGCAGAUCUUAGCUGUCCGUUUACUACAAGCAGUUCUUCCGUCAUGGGACAAGACGGAAAGGGCACGGGACAUGAAGUGUCUGGUGGAAAAGCUGUUUGGCUUCCUGGGCAGCUUGCUCACUACUUGUUCUUCUGAUGUCCCAUUCCUUAGAGAAUCCACAUUGAGGAAGCGGAGGGCACGACCGCAGGCUUCCUUGACUGCCACUCACAGCAGCACUCUGGCUGAGGAGGUGGUGGGGCUGCUCCGCACUCUGCACUCGCUCACCCAGUGGAACGGCCUCAUCAACAAAUACAUUAACUCCCAGCUCUGCUCCGUCACACACAGCUGCUCUGGGAAGACUCCAGAAAGGGCCCUGCUGGAGGACUACUUCCCAGACUCUGAGAACCUGGAAGUGGGGGGCCUCAGGGCAGUGCUGGCUGUGAUUGGAGGGAUCGAUGGCCGGCUGCGCCUGGGAAGCCAGGUCAUGCAUGAUGAGUUUGGAGAGGGCACAGUGACUCGCAUCACCCCGAAGGGCAGAAUCACUGUGCAGUUCUGUGACAUGCGCAUGUGCCGAGUUUGCCCGUUGAAUCAGCUCAAACCGACAGGGUUUCUUCAUCAGCAACUCUUUGAAGGAUUUUGUGCCCUUUCUUCAGCUCCCUGCUGUGGCCUUUAGCCUAAACAACCUGCCUUUCAUGGAGCCUAUGCUUUCUGUCUGGGCUGAGUUGGUGAACCUUGCUGGAAGCAAAUUGGAAAAGCACAAAACAAAGAAAUCAGCAAAACAGGCCUUUGCAGGACAAGUAGACUUGGACCUGCUACGCAGCCAGCAGCUGAAGCUGUACAUCCUGAAAGCAGGGCGGGCGCUGCUUUCCCACCAAGACAAACUAAGACAGUAUCUACUGUCUCAGCCCGGGACUCUACAUGCAG
This is an RNA transcript of Chionomys nivalis (European snow vole), 1588 nucleotides long. It is a transcript of the gene named E3 ubiquitin-protein ligase HERC2-like, with no coding region annotated. The transcript has 9 exons. NCBI's taxonomy places the organism in Eukaryota, Metazoa, Chordata, Mammalia, Rodentia, Cricetidae. The record is from RefSeq and is a predicted model, not a curated record.